Molecule: small nucleolar RNA, 108 nt
Organism: Solanum dulcamara
Lineage: Eukaryota; Viridiplantae; Streptophyta; Magnoliopsida; Solanales; Solanaceae
Source: RefSeq, a predicted model, not a curated record
UAGUGAUGAUGAGGACAACUAAUGAGUAGAGAUUUGAACCUAUCCCGAGCUUGGUAUAAAUUUUCACCCCGACUUCUGCUUAAAGCUUAGUAUUUCAUCUCUUAACUU